UAGAAGGAAUGCACAUUUAUUUUGGUUUGUCAGGCCUAUUGAUCUGAUCGAAUGUUUAACAGGUAUGUGGAACAGCUGGUUGGUAGUGCAGAGGCUGCAAUUGAGGAAGUUGUAUGGCUGAGGGGUGGCUCAUCCAAAUAAAAUUGUUGUUGGGGGUCAUUCCUAUGGGGCAUUCAUGAUGCGAACCACCUAGGACAUGCUCCCCCCACCUUUUCUGCUGUGGAAUUGUUUGUUCUAAAGUGUACAACAGAACGCUUACUUCUUUUAAUUUUCAGAAUGAAGAUAGAACACUUUGGGAAGCUACUAAUACUUAUGUUGAGAUGAGCCCCUUCAUGUCAGCUAACAAAAUCAAGAAAGUGAUUUUACCUAUGCAUGGAGGAGAAGACAACAAUCCA
This is a long non-coding RNA of Magnolia sinica, 395 nucleotides long. RefSeq lists it as uncharacterized. The record is from RefSeq and is a predicted model, not a curated record. NCBI's taxonomy places the organism in Eukaryota, Viridiplantae, Streptophyta, Magnoliopsida, Magnoliales, Magnoliaceae. The transcript is spliced from 3 exons.